Molecule: ribosomal RNA, 433 nt
Filed under: uncultured bacterium
Lineage: Bacteria
Description: partial 16S ribosomal RNA
Rfam family: Bacterial small subunit ribosomal RNA
Source: RNAcentral
AACGAACGCUGGCGGCAUGCCUAACACAUGCAAGUCGAACGAGACCUUCGGGUCUAGUGGCGCACGGGGGCGUAACGCGUGGGAACCUGCCCUUAGGUUCGGAAUAACUCCCCGAAAGGGGUGCUAAUACCGGAUAAUGUCUUCGGACCAAAGAUUUAUCGCCUUUGGAUGGGCCCGCGUUGGAUUAGCUAGUUGGUAGGGUAAAAGCCUACCAAGGCGACGAUCCAUAGCUGGUCUGAGAGGAUGAUCAGCCACACUGGGACUGAGACACGGCCCAGACUCCUACGGGAGGCAGCAGUGGGGAAUAUUGGACAAUGGGCGAAAGCCUGAUCCAGCAAUGCCGCGUGAGUGAUGAAGGCCUUAGGGUUGUAAAGCUCUUUUACCCGGGAUGAUAAUGACAGUACCGGGAGAAUAAGCCCCGGCUAACUCCGUG